GCGCAGCAGGCGAGAAUCCUUCGCAAUGCAGGAAACUGCGACGAGGGAACUCCAAGUGCCUACGCUCAGCGUAGGCUGUUCUCAAGCCUAGAAAGCUUGAGGAGUAAGGGCUGGGUAAGACGGGUGCCAUCUGUGGUAGCAGUCAAUAGAUUCGAUUUGUUACUGCAAGGCACAAGCCGGCCGCGGUAAUACCGCAGCCCAAGUGGUGGCCGCUUUUAUGGGCCUAAAGCGUCCGUAGCCGGCCCGGUAAAUGCCUGGGUAAAUCGUGGAGCCCAACUUCACGAAUUCCGGGUAGACUGCCGAGCUCGGGACCGGAAGAGGGAGAGGGUACUUCGAGGGGUAGGGGUGAAAAUUUCCUUUUCCAUUAACGCUUUGCGCGAAGCGGAAAGGGUUAUCACAAUCCU
This 404-nucleotide ribosomal RNA is filed under the name uncultured microorganism. RNAcentral's name for it is "bacterial SSU rRNA". It matches the Rfam family "Archaeal small subunit ribosomal RNA", at positions 330 to 687 of the family's 1478-position model. The record is from RNAcentral.